CCUACGGGAGGCUGCAGUAGGGAAUAUUGCUCAAUGGGGGAAACCCUGAAGCAGCAACGCCGCGUGGAGGAUGAAGGUUUUCGGAUUGUAAACUCCUUUUGUUAGAGAAGAUAAUGACGGUAUCUAACGAAUAACCACAGGUUAACACCGUGCCAGCAGCCGCGGUAAUAGUGAGGGUGCAAGCGUUACUUGGAAUCACUGGGCGUAAAUGCCGCGUAGGCGGGAUAGCAGGUAAGAUGUGAAAUCCUAUGGCUUAACCAUAGAACUGCAUUUGAAACUGUGAUUCUAGAGUAUGGGAGAGGUAGGUGGAAUGCUUGGUGUAGGGGUAAAAUCCGUAGAGAUCAAGAGGAAUACUCAUUGCGAAGGCGACCUGCUAGAACAUAACUGACGCUGAUGCGCGAAAGCGUGGGGAGCAAACAGGAUUAGAUACCCUUGUAGUC
RNAcentral lists this ribosomal RNA (440 nucleotides) under uncultured bacterium. Its description in RNAcentral is "partial 16S ribosomal RNA". It matches the Rfam family "Bacterial small subunit ribosomal RNA", at positions 338 to 795 of the family's 1533-position model. The record is from RNAcentral.